AAAAAUGAUGAUGCUAACGUUAUUGAUGAGGAGGAGGAAUAGUUGACAGUAAUUUGUGAAUGGAUAAUACUACAUUAACGAAUUUUGAGUGAAUGAAAUUAUUUUAGGUUUGAUAAAUACCGAAUGAUGUUGGUCUAUACAUAUUAUUUAGAAGAGAAAAUUAGUAUGGUCAUUGUUUAGCACGUAAAAAUGAAUGAGUUUCUAGGUUUUGCGUUUAAUUGAACAAAAACAAGUAACGGCUCAGCAACAGGGAUUAUUCUCAGAUGGUACAUGUAUUCCUUUUAGAGUCACAGAAAUUCAACUUUGCAUCAAUACCGGUGUUCUUUGAGAUUUGUUUGAUGGGUUAAAAUUCCAAAAAUUUACGAGUUUUGCAGCCGACCAAGUACCUAUAGCUUUGUAUUUGAGUGUGUUAAGCAUUUUGUUGUUUUCAAAUUAGUAAAUCAAAAUUAAUACGGUGUUCUAGUAUAUCAAUUGAGCUUAUGCUAUUGCCAUGGAAAUUUGAGCCAGGGUUCGAUCAGUAGCUUAAAGUAUGUCUGUGUUGGUGAAUUGAACCUAAAAACAAAUGUCAAGUCGGUAGUUUUAAUUUUAAGAGCAGAACAUACGUAUUGAUUGUGAGAACAUUAGUAAAAUGUGUUUGGUAUUUGUGCAUGUCUUUUGCGGUCAUUGGACCAAGUUGUUUAAGGCCAAUUGGCCUGAUUUUGAAAGCCAGUUGGCUUGUAUGGUCAGUUGACCGUUUUUAAAGCCAUUCUAUAUGGUGUGUGAAAGCAUGUUGGCUUGUGUUGUCAGGUUACCGAACUUUCUUGGAACGAAAGUCUCAUAGAAUUUACAAUAUUUGCAAGAUUAUUGUUUGCAAUGCAGUAACUAGACAGUUCGAAUAGUAUAUUAAGUAUUGAAGAACAUAAAGGUAUGGUUUAUGUAGUAUGUUAUUAUUAUUACUAGGAUUAUUAUGAUGUAUUUUAUUUGGGUGCAUUCGGAGAAUUGCAAAGCCGGUAGUUAAAAAAGAGCCUAUUACAUCAGAUAUAUUAAAGAAAUUUUAUCACACUUUUGUUUCUGAGAGCGAUUGUUCUUUGGGGUAUUUAAGAGGCGUUACAAUCUUUUUCUUAUUUUAUGCUGGUUUUUUAGGAUAAGUGAAAUUUUGUCUGUUAAAAGAUCAGAUGUUGUAUUUUUAGAUACGCAUUGUGAUAUUAAAGUUGAAAAGUCAAAAACGGACAUUUUAAGAGAGGGUUAUACUGUUCUGAUUGCAAAAACUAAUACAGACACAUGACCUGUGAAAUUGUUUGAAAAGUAUUUGUGUGUUGCAGAUAUUGCAUGUUCAUCUACUGAUUAUGUGUUUAGACCAGUUUAUUUGUGUAAUGUUAAACACUGUUUCAAAUUGAUUUCUAAUAAUAAGCAUAUAAGUUAUUCUACUAUAAAUGAUAGUUUUAAGAAGAAGUUAAGUCUAUUGGGUUAUGUUUCUUCUAAAUAUGGACUUCAUUCUUUUCGUGCUGGUGGAGCAUCUAUAAGUGCCAAUAAUAAGACUGUGGAUAGACUUUGGCAAAGGCAUGGUAGAUGAAAAAGUGUUUCCACUAAGGACGGAUAUGUAAAAGAUUCUUUGAAAGACAGAUUAUCGGUGUCGCUAAAUUUAGAUUUGUGAAAAGUCAUUAUUAAUGUAUGUGUGAUUUGAAAUGUAUGAUGUGUUGUUCGUAGCACAUUUAAAGACACUAUAAUAUAUUAUUAUAUAAAUGGUUUGGAAAUGCUUUUGAGUAUUAUUAAGUUCUGUGUUUGUGUUGUGUGUAUGUUCCUUGUGGUCAUUGGAACAAUUUGUUUACGGCCAUUUGGCCUGAUUUGGUAAGCCAGUUGGCUUGUAUGGUCAGUUGACCGUUUUUUAAAGCAAGUUGAUCUGAUGUGUGAAAGCCGGUUGGCUUUUGUGAGUUGAACUUAUUUUCUUAAAAAGCAUGUUCACAUGGAAUUAACAAUCUUUGCAAGUUUAUUUUUUGCAGUGCAGUAACUGGACAGUACGAAUGGUAUAUUAAGUAUUGGAGAACAUAAAGUUAAAACACAGUUCGAGAGGUAUAUAACGUGGUGGAGAAUAUUUAGGUAUUCAUUUUAUGUUUUAUAUUAUUUGUAUUCUCUCUUUGUUUUAUUCGAAAGUCCUGUCAAAUACAAGCACUCACUCCUAUUUUGUCUUUGGUUUAUUAUUUGUUUGAUAAUGAUAAUGAUGAUGAUAUGGGUUAUAAAGAUGAUGAGAUUUUAAUAGUAUUUUGAGAAUAGAGAAUAAUAAAUUUACUCAUAACUAUGAGUAAAUGAAAUUAUUCUCGGUUUGAGAAAUACGGUAUAGUAUGGUUUAAUACGUGUUAUUUAGAAGAGAGAUUAUGGUAAUGGUUUAGCGCGUAUAAUGCACGGGUUUUGUGUGCAUGUUUUAGCGCGAAAGCGCACGAGUUUUUCGUUUUGGGGUAUAUAUGAUUUGCACAUUUAGUGAGACGCCAUUCGAGGGUUGUUUUUGACAGGCAAAGUUAUGGAGCAAGAAAACGAAAGGGUGAUAACCCCACCCGCCCGCCCUUAAUGAACAUAUGUAUGGUUAAAUAAUUGGUUACAUUGCUUUUAUGUUUAUAAUUUUGCUAUUAUAAAGUCUAUAUUUAGUAUAUUUUCAGUUCGGUUUUAGUCCAUGUGAGAUGGGAUCUCAACACGAACCGAUUCUUUACUAGGAAAGACGAUGGGUGUAUUUUCAUUUAAGUCUGAAGCAGCUAAGUUUUCUUGAUUAUUUUGACUCAUUUGUUACUUAAUAUUGUGUUUGAAUGAGGUCUUUAAGUUAUGGGUGUCAUGUUUUUCGAAACUCUCACUUCCUGGAGAUAGUACCUCCAGCAUACUUAUUGAAAUAUUGGUAUGUUUAAAUGUCAAGUGUUAUUAUUUUUUGUUGUCGUUCGUAAUGAACGUUUAAUUUUAAAGACAUUUUUAUUGUACGAUUACUUACUAUUUUCAUUUUGGUGUGACUGGUUAGAUGUUGAAGUCGGUUUAAUAUAGCUGUUAAAUUCGUCAUAUGCAUUUAUAUAUUUCUCGGAAUAUUUAUGAUUUAUCAACAUUCUUUAUAGAUGCUUUAUGGAUUUUAUGGUUUGAGUGAUUUGUGUGUUUCUUGCUGAUCUCCGGGGUGUGUGCAGGAUGCUUUUGAUGUUUGUUUGUUAUGUUAACUUGCGCAAUGAAUUGAUAAUGUUUUAAUUACAUUUUUUACUAUAAAAUACUUAAUGUUACAGUAUCUUAAUAGCUGCUUAUUUAUAGAUUUCUCUAAAUUAGAGGUUUCGGGAGGUGAUGAAGGCACCUAGACACCGGUCUCGAGCCAUGGGUCCUCAUACGUCCCCCUGCCAUUAAAAGAAAAAAUAAGAAAACAAAAAUGGCAGUAGGGUUGCGUAUCCCGCUCGCGGUUUUACCUGAAUCGUUUAUUACUACUGAGUAUUGUAUGGGGUGUACGUGAAGUCAUGUACACUUCUCUUGAUUGGUGGUGGUAGAUGAAUCUUGCAGAUAUUAGCAGCUUCUUUGAACAAAUUAAUGUUUCACAUUUGUUAAUUUAUAAUAUUCAAGCAAGUUAGCGUGAUUGAUGGGCAUUGGGGGCGUCCUGUGUGCACUGUGGGCAUCGGCGGGGAUCAGUUUAUUCAAACAGUAACUCUUUUUUGAGAUAUAUACUUGACGUCUAAUUGUUAUGAAUACAUUUGCACUUUUUCACAUGACACACAUGUGUAUGUGAAGUAUUCAUAAUUACAUGCCCUACAGCAUUUAAAUAGUAUCGUUUCAGUUCUUUAUACACCUGAACAAAGAUGUUACACCGUUUCCAGUCGUCUCGAGAUUCCUCAACUGAGCGGUGCCGUUGAGGUCUAUAUCCAUUGCGCAUACAACAUAUACGGGCUUCAGAAGAAUUGUUUUUUGCAUUUAUUUGUUGAAAGUCCUGUCAAAUACAAGCACUCACUCCUA
Molecule: long non-coding RNA, 3939 nt
Organism: Dreissena polymorpha
Lineage: Eukaryota; Metazoa; Mollusca; Bivalvia; Myida; Dreissenidae
Exons: 2
Source: RefSeq, a predicted model, not a curated record